GCAAGCUGUAACUUGAGUAAACGUUAAGAUAUCUUGAUGAAACUUGGCACCAUAGGAAGGUUGCUUUCGAAAAUGAGCAAAAUCGGACCACUGCCACGCCCACAAAAUGGCGAAAACCGAAAACACAUAAAGUGCCAUAACUAAGCCAUAAAUAAAGCUAUGGAAAUAAAAUUUGGUAUGAAUGAUCGCACUAUGAAGGGGCAUAUUUGGAUGUAAUUUUUUUGGGGAAGUGGGCGUGGCCCCGCCCCCAAAUAGGUUUUUUGUAUAUAUCUCGCAAACCAAUAGAGCUAUAAUAUAAACCAAACUUUCUGCAGUCGUUUUUUUAGCUAUUUCCUUAUACAGUCCAAAAAUGACAGAAAUAGGAAAAUAACCACGCCCCCGUCCCAUACAAAGGUAAGGUUGAAAAUUACUAAAAGUGGGUUAACUCAAUAACCAAAAACGUGAGAAACACUAAAUUUCACAAAGGAAAUGGCAGAUGAAAGCUACACUCAGAUUACAAAAUGAAAAAUGGGCGUGGCGUCGCCCACUUAUGGGUCAAAAACCAUAUCUCAGAAACUUCUUGACCGAUUUCAAUGAAACUUGGUUUGUAAUAGUUUCCUUACAUCCCAAUGAUAUGUUGUGAAAAUAGGCCAAAUCACUUCACAACCACGCCUACUUCCUAUAUACCAGAACUUUGAAGACGAUCUGAAUCGUUUACUUUACAAUAUAUAAAGUAAGCACUAGUGAAGAUAUCUGUGCAGAGCUUUGCACAAAUACUAUGUUUAUAGUGUGGCAGCCCCAUUCUAUAAAUCGAAAUCGGACCAUAGGUUUUUAAGGCCCCAUAUAUCGAAUACGAGGCCCUCAUAGGUGCUUCUAACCUAAUAUUAUGGUCUCCAACUUUCACUAGACUUUAUGCACUAUAUAUGACGAAUAUGUGGGUCAAAUUGUGUAUUAUUAAUAUAAAUAAAGUUAAAUAAAUAAAUUGCGAGAGUAUAAAAUGUUCGGUUACACCCGAACUUAGCCCUUCCUUACUUGUUUACCAUUCGUUUUUUUCUAUAUUUUGCCGGUAGGAACUUCUGCUGGCGUCUUAGAAUAUUCUUGUCCCAAGUGUUUUAAUUUUUUUCUUUAAUAUUAUUUUGUGAUUUUUUACUAUGCUUAUUUGCUUUUGUUUUGCCGGUGAAAGCUUUGGCUGGCGACUUAGGACUUUCUUGUCCCAAAUGGUUUAAUAAAAUUAAAUCAUUGAGAAAAUGUAUUUUCUCUAUUUUAUAAUUUCCUAUUUGAAAUAUCUAUUGUGGUCCCGAUUUUAUUUAAGAAAUUGAUUCCAAUUAAGAGAUCGUCUAUAACCGCGUAAGCGGUGUGUACUCCAGUCAAGAAGAAGAAACCAGAGUUUACCCUAAAAAAUGGUUUUCACCAAUGUUAAUGAUUCUUUGUAUUUUUGGUUGAGGUUGUGUGCUUGCUUAUGCACUUUCAUUUUGCCUCUUUGUUAUGUUUGUCGGUCUAUAAUUGGUUUACCAAUUAAAUCUAUUGCUCCUAGCUUGUUACUUGCUUUGUUUGCAUAGGCACCCCAGGUCUAUUUACAUUAGUUGGAUUGAUUGAUCCCGUUCAUUGGUUUUGGACGAUUUGAAUAUUUAGGUUUGAAUUAAAUUAAAUUAUUCUGAAAAUUCGGAUAUCUUUUGUUAACUUAAGGUUGGUUGCGUAAAAAUUUUUCAUUGUUGUUUUUUCUAAAUUGCAAAACAAAUUGGGAUCGCAUUUGGUUUGAAUAAAGUUCUUGCGCUUUAGCAAGAGCAUUUGGGAAAUCGGUAGGUGUCAAUGUAAAUAAAAUUUGGGUUUAAUGAUAAUUUAAACCUGUUGUAAAUGUUCUAAGCGCGGUUUCGUGAUUCUUUAUAUUCAAUUGUUUCGUUAUUUCGGAAUUUGUUCCAUGUGUCAUAAUGGUUUUAUUAAUUAAUAAUGUCAAUUUCUGAUUUACUUCAUUAUAGUAAUCAAUUAAGGCUUUCGAUCCUUGUCGCAUAAUGCUCAUCUCUUGAUCAGUUACAUGAAUUGGACUUCUAUCUGAAUACGCAAAAUCUAAUCUGGAAAAUUUGGCCUCCAAAUUUAAUACUGUGCCAUGAUUGGUUUAACGCCACCAAUACCUGUGAUUAUCUUGCUCGCUCUCUCUCAUUGAUUUUGGCGCCAAUGCAACAUAUGUCUUUCUGCUCUAAUUUUUCUUUGUUUUGGAAAGGCAUAUGUCACUCUGUGGUUAGCAGAGACCCCUGUAGUAGUUUUUUUUUUAAUCAGCCAUCUAUCAGUGGAGACUGUUCGAUUUAUCAUUUUCAGGGUAACCCCUUAACCUUAGAACCGUGAGUUGGGCACUCAGUGCCCAUUCUCAUUUUUGAUAUGGAAUUUCUGGGAAUUGGGCAGUCCAAUUUAACCAAAUUUCGACAUAGUGAUAAACUAUAAUAUUAGUUAUAAGUUGACAAAAUUAAGUACCUAGCUCUUAUAAUAAGAAAGUAACGGCAUUUUAUAUGGUGAGUACGCUAUACGUGACUUGGGGCACUCAGUGCCCAUAGAAUUUCUUCAUAUAUUUUGUAUGAAGAGUCGUAAUUUUCUAACGGUUUUGAUGAUUAUUGUGCAUUUCUAAUUAGUUUCGCGUAAAAUUUUCGAGUGAACAGUUGAUUUUUAGUUGUGACAAAUAUUAUUUUUUGAAAUGAGUGAGGAAUUAGCGAUUUAUUUGGCCAACUUACGUCGUGAAUUGACCGAAGAAGAAGAGGAGAAUAUUUCAAAUUAUUUGAAUGCUAAUGAUAGCGAUGAUGAUGAUGGUGGAAGAGAACCUAAAUUUGGUGAUGAUCACGAAUCGAUACCCAGUGACCAAUCGGACUUUGGAGAUGUUAAUGCUGAGGCCAUUAGAGAUCCACGUUUCGAAGAAUAUAUACAGGAGGAGACUGCUGUAUAUAUGGACCCUGACGAAUGCAGAAAAGUAUUGUGGUCAGGGAAGGAACAAUCAAACAGUAUGGUGGUCAAAACCAAGCCAAACUGAAAAACGGCGAGUGGAACUGGCAUUGGAAAUGCGUAAACAAUCAACGUCACUAUGCACGGAAAGUUUUGGAUCUAAAAGUAAUGCCUUCAUACGCGUUUUCCCAGCGUCUCUUGUUGAAGGUAUUGCUCUUGAGACGAACAGGAAAGCUAAAAGAGUAAUACAGGCAAACAUGCAUCAAACAGUUCCAAAAAAAAUGAGAUAUUGGCAAGACACAAAUGCGGAGGAAUUAUAUGCUUUUAUUGCAAUAAUUUUAUAUUCCGGUGCUGAGAAGGCAAACUUAGUUCAUGCUAAGGAUCUUUUUCACAAAACGAACAUGCCCUUUUAUAGAGCAGCGAUGUCACUGCAUCGGUUUGAACAAUUGUGCCGUUUUAUACGCUUUGACGAUUCCCGGACUCGUGCUGAGAGACUACGAUACGACAAAUUGGCGCCUAUUCGUCAUGCUUGGACAUUAUUCUUGGCGAAUUUGCCGAUACCAUUCGUCCCAAGUAAAGAAUUAACAGUUGAUGAGCAGUUGCUUUCAACAAGAAACCGAUGCAGUUUCCGCCAAUACAUUCCCUCUAAGCCUGGAAAAUAUGGCAUAAAAAUAUUUUGGCUUGUUGACGCAAAAACCAACUAUCCACUUGCAGGCGAAAUAUAUUUCUCGUUAUGCGACUCGCCAACCGAUAUUUGGACAGAGGUAUGAAUAUCACGAUGGACAAUUUUUUCACAAGCUAUGACUUGGCGGAAGAUUUGCUUGUGCGGAAUACUACCUUGGUGGGCACAAUAAGAGGCAAUAAACCGCAAUUGCCAAAAUUAUUUACAUCCUCUGAAGAAGCAAAAAAAAGGCGUCUGUUUGAAUCAGUGUUUUGUUUCUCAAAAUCAAUGCAAUUAGUAAGCUUUACAACACAUUCGAAGAAAAACGUGCUAGUGCUUUCAACUGCUCAUGCCAGCGAAUAUGUAAAUACUGUAACAAAAAAAAACACAAGUCAUACAUGAUUAUAAUGAGCAUAAAGAUGGGGUUGAUACUUUUGACAAAAUGCUACGUGGAUUCUCUGGCAAAAGAAAAACAAAUCGCUGGCCCAUGGCAUUAUUUUAUAAUAUGCUGGAUAUUGCUGGACUUGCAGCGUUCAGACUGUUUGAUCUUAGCCACCCUAUGUGGAAUACCAAUAAGUCUGAAAAGCGCAAAAUAUUUUUGAAAGAACUCUCUAUGGAGCUAGCGCAAAAGCAAUUACAAAACCGAUGCAAAACAAGAAUUAAUUCUUCAACUAAAAUUGCAAUGGACUUGAUAAAUUUCAAACGGGUUCCUGCAGUGACGAGCUCGCUUCCAACUGUACAGAUAAACACUUUGAAACGGCGGUGUGAAACCUGCAAAACUGCUAAGAUCGAUAAUGAAACAACAGCAGUUUGUGACCAUUGCCUUGUUCCGACAUGUACCAAACACUAUAUAAGGACAUGUGAAAAGUGCUAUUUUGCAAAAUACAAUGCCGAAGCCGAUACGGACUCAGACAAUGAUGAAGAUGUGGACAAUACUCCAACAACAUCUACAGCCAAUCAAAAUGCAUCAAAGAGACAGCGAAGAAUUUCACCCAUUUGAGCAGUUCGAAAUUAAAACUUUAUUUGAUUUUCAUAUUUUUCAAUAAAAAUACAUUUGUUUCUAACAAUAAACACAAGUUUCGAUAAAUUAUUUGCAUAAACAAGCGAGAUAAUGACGUUUUUGUAAAAAAAACGUCUUAAAAGUCUAAAUUUUCAAACAAAAUACAUUACUGGGCACUGAGUGCCCAAGUCACGAGAUUAAGUUGUAUAGCCAUGUCACGGUUCUAAGGUUAAUCACAGGUAUUGGUCAUUUGUUGGGUCACCGUUUCGU
RNA transcript from Zeugodacus cucurbitae (melon fly), 4835 nucleotides. RefSeq lists it as uncharacterized. The record is from RefSeq and is a predicted model, not a curated record. NCBI's taxonomy places the organism in Eukaryota, Metazoa, Arthropoda, Insecta, Diptera, Tephritidae. The transcript is spliced from 2 exons.